CGGGCUAUGGCGCAGUCUGGUAGCGCGCUACACUGGGGGUGUAGAGGCCGUGGGUUCGAGUCCCGCUAGCCCGACCA
RNAcentral lists this transfer RNA (77 nucleotides) under Luteolibacter sp. RNAcentral's name for it is "tRNA-Pro". It matches the Rfam family "tRNA". From Rfam's summary of the family: Transfer RNA (tRNA) molecules are approximately 80 nucleotides in length. Lineage: Bacteria; Pseudomonadati; Verrucomicrobiota; Verrucomicrobiia; Verrucomicrobiales; Verrucomicrobiaceae. RNAcentral also lists the same sequence under 3 other names. The record is from RNAcentral.